This 400-nucleotide ribosomal RNA is filed under the name uncultured bacterium. RNAcentral describes it as "bacterial SSU rRNA". It matches the Rfam family "Bacterial small subunit ribosomal RNA", at positions 355 to 752 of the family's 1533-position model. The record is from RNAcentral.
UGAGGAAUAUUGGUCAAUGGACGCAAGUCUGAACCAGCCAUGCCGCGUGGAGGAUGAAGGCCUUCUGGGUUGUAAACUUCUUUUAUUGGGGAAGAAAAGCACGGUUUCUACUGUGUCCGACGGUACCCAAGGAAUAAGCACCGGCUAACUCCGUGCCAGCAGCCGCGGUAAUACGGAGGGUGCAAGCGUUAUCCGGAUUCACUGGGUUUAAAGGGUGUGUAGGCGGGCUGUUAAGUCAGUGGUGAAAUCUCAAGGCUCAACCUUGAAACUGCCAUUGAUACUAUCAGUCUUGAAUUUUGUUGAGGUAGGCGGAAUAUGUCAUGUAGCGGUGAAAUGCUUAGAUAUGACAUAGAACACCGAUUGCGAAGGCAGCUUACUAAGCAAAUAUUGACGCUGAGGC